RNAcentral lists this ribosomal RNA (431 nucleotides) under uncultured bacterium. RNAcentral describes it as "bacterial SSU rRNA". It matches the Rfam family "Bacterial small subunit ribosomal RNA", at positions 29 to 507 of the family's 1533-position model. The record is from RNAcentral.
AACGAACGCUGGCGGCAGGCCUAACACAUGCAAGUCGAACGAACCUUCGGGUUAGUGGCGCACGGGUGCGUAACACGUGGGAAUAUACAUUUCGGUAAGGAAUAACACAGAGAAAUUUGUGCUAAUACCUUAUAAUGACUCCGGUCCAAAGAUUUAUCGCCGAAGGAUUAGCCCGCGCUAGAUUAGUUUGUUGGUGAGGUAAGAGCUCACCAAGACUACGAUCUAUAGCUGGUCUUAGAGGAUGAUCAGCCACACUGGAACUGAGACACGGUCCAGACUACUACGGGAGGCAGCAGUGAGGAAUAUUGGACAAUGGGGGCAACCCUGAUCCAGCCAUGCCGCGUGAAUGAAGAAGGCCUUAGGGUUGUAAAAUUCUUUCAGAUGCGAAGAUAAUGACGGUACCAUCAGAAGAAGCUCCGGCUAAAUUCGUG